UACGUAGGGGGCAAGCGUUAUCCGGAUUUACUGGGUGUAAAGGGAGCGUAGACGGAAUUGCAAGUCUGAUGUGAAAAUCCGGGGCCCAACCCCGGAACUGCAUUGGAAACUGUAUUUCUAGAGUGUCGGAGAGGCAAGUGGAAUUCCUGGUGUAGCGGUGAAAUGCGUAGAUAUCAGGAGGAACACCAGUGGCGAAGGCGGCUUGCUGGAUGACAACUGACGCUGAGGCGCGAAAGUGUGGGGAGCAAACAGG
This 253-nucleotide ribosomal RNA is filed under the name uncultured bacterium. Its description in RNAcentral is "partial 16S ribosomal RNA". It matches the Rfam family "Bacterial small subunit ribosomal RNA", at positions 524 to 776 of the family's 1533-position model. The record is from RNAcentral.